UACGGAGGGUGCGAGCGUUAAUCGGAAUUACUGGGCGUAAAGCGCGCGUAGGCGGUUACGUAAGUCGGAUGUGAAAGCCCCGGGCUUAACCUGGGAAUUGCAUUCGAUACUGCGUGGCUAGAGUCUGGUAGAGGCUAGUGGAAUUCCAGGUGUAGCGGUGAAAUGCGUAGAUAUCUGGAGGAACAUCAGUGGCGAAGGCGACUGGCUGGACCAAGACUGACGCUGAGGUGCGAAAGCGUGGGGAGCAAACAGG
This 253-nucleotide ribosomal RNA is filed under the name uncultured bacterium. RNAcentral's name for it is "partial 16S ribosomal RNA". It matches the Rfam family "Bacterial small subunit ribosomal RNA", at positions 524 to 776 of the family's 1533-position model. The record is from RNAcentral.